RNAcentral lists this ribosomal RNA (707 nucleotides) under uncultured Staphylococcus sp. RNAcentral's name for it is "bacterial SSU rRNA". It matches the Rfam family "Bacterial small subunit ribosomal RNA", at positions 47 to 736 of the family's 1533-position model. Lineage: Bacteria; Bacillati; Bacillota; Bacilli; Caryophanales; Staphylococcaceae. The record is from RNAcentral.
CCUAAUACAUGCAAGUCGAGCGAACGGACGAGAAGCUUGCUUCUCUGAUGUUAGCGGCGGACGGGUGAGUAACACGUGGAUAACCUACCUAUAAGACUGGGAUAACUUCGGGAAACCGGAGCUAAUACCGGAUAAUAUUUUGAACCGCAUGGUUCAAAAGUGAAAGACGGUCUUGCUGUCACUUAUAGAUGGAUCCGCGCUGCAUUAGCUAGUUGGUAAGGUAACGGCUUACCAAGGCAACGAUGCAUAGCCGACCUGAGAGGGUGAUCGGCCACACUGGAACUGAGACACGGUCCAGACUCCUACGGGAGGCAGCAGUAGGGAAUCUUCCGCAAUGGGCGAAAGCCUGACGGAGCAACGCCACGUGAGUGAUGAAGGUCUUCGGAUCGUAAAACUCUGUUAUUAGGGAAGAACAUAUGUGUAAGUAACUGUGCACAUCUUGACGGUACCUAAUCAGAAAGCCACGGCUAACUACGUGCCAGCAGCCGCGGUAAUACGUAGGUGGCAAGCGUUAUCCGGAAUUAUUGGGCGUAAAGCGCGCGUAGGCGGUUUUUUAAGUCUGAUGUGAAAGCCCACGGCUCAACCGUGGAGGGUCAUUGGAUACUGGAAAACUUGAGUGCAGAAGAGGAAAGUAGAAUUCCAUGUGUAGCGGUGAAAUGCGCAGAGAUAUGGAGGAACACCAGUGGCGAAGGCGACUUUCUGGUCUG